This is a long non-coding RNA of Micropterus dolomieu (smallmouth bass), 3156 nucleotides long. RefSeq lists it as uncharacterized. The record is from RefSeq and is a predicted model, not a curated record. Lineage: Eukaryota; Metazoa; Chordata; Actinopteri; Centrarchiformes; Centrarchidae. The transcript is spliced from 2 exons.
AAACUCCACACAGAAAGGCCGGGGAAACCAGGGUUUGAACCUGCAACCUUCUUGCUGUGAAGCAACAGUGCCAACCACUGUACCACCACGCCACCCCCCUAGCAGUGUUCAGCAACAUUUAAAUCAAAAUGUGUUGACAGUAGGUGAGGCAUUCACUUGCUUUAAAAAUGUAAUAUAGGGUGAAUGAUUAAUAUAUUUUUGCACAAUUAGUAGUAUAAACUACUGUAGAGAGGUUGGAAAAGUCAUGUGAAAAGAAAACAGUUGUUAAAUAAGGAGAUGAAGAUGAAGGAUUGGCUCCAGCCCCCCGCGACCCUGUACGCAGGAUAAGCGGUUGACGAUGGAUGGAUGGAUGGGUUUAAUUAAAGGUAAUGGAAAGCUCUGCUAAUAAAGCAAUAAAAAAUUAUUAUAAAUUGAGUAUUUCAAAUUUCUUGAUGAAAAGUUUUAUGAGUCAAAUGGACUACAAGAAACACUCGAGCUCAGAAGAAAUUAGCCUUUUGUGUUACUGUAUCCAGCUCUCAUUUUUUGACUUGAAGUAUUCGUCUAAAUUUCAACACAUCCACAAGUUACUUAUAGUGAACAAAGAGAAGUCCACAGUGAAACAGUCAAAAUAAUCUAAUGUAAUGUUAAUUUAAUCUCAACAAAGAUCAAUCACAUGGAACAUUUUCAAAUACACAGACCCAAAAUCUUGGCUCAGCUUUCCAAACUGGACUGAACUUACUUCAGGUGGUGAGAACUUUCAGUCCAUCAUGGGAAAAAGAUUUAUAUCCAAAAAAAAUCACAUUGCCACAUGUUGUGGUGAAAAGUAGCUCAAGAUGUUUCUGCGUCAAAAAGCACACGCCUAUGCGUAAAAUAUGACACAUCCAUUUGAGGACAUGAAAAUCUAUUCCAUUCUGAGACUGUAACAUUUUUUAUCCUCUGCAGCCAUAAAUAGUUUUUGUCAGAAAGAAACAGACUCAAUAGUCAGAGUAAAACACAUUUAAACAACAAAUCUUGACAGUGCAAGCUGUUGACCAAUGUGCUGUUUGUAAUGAUGAUUUUAUUACAUACAGCAAGUAUUCCAGGGGUAUAAAAUGGUCCAGGAUCCUAAUAGACAGCAGAGUAAUCUCAAACCCAGAGCCGACAUCUAUAUGACGGCUCCAAUGUUCCAUAACAUCAAUCAUCCAUCCUGAUCUGCUUUUCUUUCCUGCCUUACCCCUCCCUUCCUGCUAUUUGCCGUAUCAUAUGUUCCACCAUAUGCCCUGGGGAGAGAGAAUAUACGCAGACUUUCAUCUGUAAGUGACGUGCUGUCAUCGUUGCUUGGGUGGAGGGAGACGAAGGAAGACGAAGGACUGAAAGAUGGAGAGAGAGACAGUGAGCAUUAAGUGGAUGGACAAGAGAUGUCCAACAAGUCAAGUUAUUACUGGUGGCUUUAGGUGCUGGAAAGAGCUGGCGUUUGCAGUGUUGCGGUCACACAUUCUGACAACAGUGAAGGCAAAGAUGAGCACAAGUUAAUCCAGGAGGAGGAAUCUGAAAUCUGAGCCAGCAGGCUUAUGGAAAGUCGACAGCAAAGAGCACAGAUGAGAGGAGCACAUCACAAUAAUUACCCGAGCCGUCUGCGAUGACCUACCAAGCCCAUCAGUUCUCUGGAGAAAAGUUGAUUCACCAUCAUGACCCUGAGCCAGGGAAAGGAACUAAAGCAUGACAUCCUCGGCUGGAGCACUGAUGAAGGGAGCUCAUGGUGGCACCUUGGCCUGCAGAGACAGUCUGAAGUGCCAUUUGCAAUAGAAAGCCAAGAAAUCCAUUGUAGUGAUCACAUUAAGCCCAUAAUUUAUUAAAAAGACAACUUUGCGAAACUCCCGCCCCAAACAGCGAACCGUAAAUAGGCACAGCAGGCCUGUCAAGCUGUGGAUUUGUCAACAUACCAGAGCGGUGUGCAUGAAGCUCGACUCUGCAUUUUAAGAGGCUGGAGGGUGGUGUUCUUUUUUUAGCCUUUCCAAAUCACAAAACACAGAGCAAAAGUGUAACAAAUGGAUCAAGCAAUGUGUCUUUCUGUCUGUUGUUAGCAUGUCUAGCUAACUAGCUUACUACCCAUUCUAAUAAUCUAACAUUGCUUCCAAGGCCAAGGAGCACAUCAAAAUAGCAGUCUGAUCUUGCAUUAGUUUACAUACAGGCUAAUAUUACCUAAAUAUACCCAUUGUUAAAUCCAAGCUAUUACCUGGUUAUUACUGUGGUAAUUACAUCAUAUUACUUAAUUAUUACCUCUUUUUUAUCCAACUAUUACCAUUUAAUUACCUGGCUGUAAUGUAAUGUGCUACCAAAGCUUUUUGUCUACCUCCCUCCAUUGUUUAAAGAAAUAUGGAAAACUUUGUGUCGUAAAUCUGCCUCUGUUAUCAGUGUUAACUGCAUGUAUAAGUGAGAACGGAAAGCUUGAUAUAUGCAGCAACAGUAACAAAGGGUGGUGAGGCUUAGAGAACAUUCAGUAUGAUCAAGACAUUUUACCUAUAGCACAGAAAAGUAUUGAGGUUCAAUGAAAUAAAUGAGCUAAACAAAGCACAGGUAAAAUGCCACACUAUGAUCACACACACACACACACACACACACACCACACCAUGAAAUAAUUUUGUGACAGCUGAAAAACUGGUAAAAGCCAUAUUCACUUGCUUGUCAUGUGAAAAGGUUAGCUCAAUUAAAAAGAACUUUCCAAGAAACAAGAAACACUUCAACUAAAAAGUAAACAUUUAUUCAGAGUAGGGUAAAGCUUCUUAGUUUGAGUUUGGCACUGAAUCCAGGCCAGAAUGGAAGACAAAUUUAUACGCACACACUUUCCAUCGCACCAUUUCAGUUUCAAACUACAGCUGGUGGUUGUGCCUGCUACACAUAAUCCUUAAGGGGUCAGGAAUGUUUUUUUUUCUAUCAUGUGAAUGUAAAAAAGCUUAUAUUUAAAUUUUUGGUCAUUAUGCUCAUUAAAUUUCAGGAGACAACUAUUAUGAAAGAUACAGCAGGUAUUGAGAAACAGAGAAAUAGAGAAGAGAGAAAAAAAAACAUGAUGAGUUAGUGGAUGCUCAUUAUAUGAUGUCUGCAGAUGGUCUCACCUUUUAUUGAUUUAUGUAGUUUUGUAUGAUGCAUUGGCAAUAUUGUUGUUAUACAUUCAUGCCAAUAAAGCUAAUUUGAAUUGAA